Molecule: transfer RNA, 61 nt
Filed under: Hoplias intermedius
Lineage: Eukaryota; Metazoa; Chordata; Actinopteri; Characiformes; Erythrinidae
Description: tRNA-Cys
Source: RNAcentral
CAGAAGAUGUGGGAUAAAGUCCUGCAAGUCUUAUCAGGAAUUAGAAGAUUUUCACUUCUGC